This 459-nucleotide ribosomal RNA is filed under the name uncultured bacterium. Its description in RNAcentral is "partial 16S ribosomal RNA". It matches the Rfam family "Bacterial small subunit ribosomal RNA", at positions 338 to 795 of the family's 1533-position model. The record is from RNAcentral.
CCUACGGGAGGCAGCAGUGAGGAAUAUUGGUCAAUGGGCGGAAGCCUGAACCAGCCAAGUAGCGUGAGGGAUGAAGGUACAGAGUAUCGUAAACCUCUUUUGUCAGGGAACAAAGGCGGGGACGUGUCCCCGGAUGAGUGUACCUGAAGAAAAAGCAUCGGCUAACUCCGUGCCAGCAGCCGCGGUAAUACGGAGGAUGCGAGCGUUAUCCGGAUUUAUUGGGUUUAAAGGGUGCGCAGGCGGUCUGUUAAGUCAGCGGUCAAAGCCCGGGGCUCAACCCCGGCCCGCCGUUGAAACUGGCAGUCUCGAGUUGGAGAGAAGUAUGCGGAAUGCGCGGUGUAGCGGUGAAAUGCAUAGAUAUCGCGCAGAACUCCGAUUGCGAAGGCAGCAUGCCGGCUCCACACUGACGCUGAGGCACGAAAGCGUGGGUAUCGAACAGGAUUAGAUACCCCUGUAGUC